UGCAGUGUGUGUUUCCUGGUUGUAUCCUGGUACGUAUGUAUCCUUGUUUCCUGGUUCACAUAUGCACACAUA
This 72-nucleotide transfer RNA is filed under the name Eutreptiella gymnastica. The record is from RNAcentral. Lineage: Eukaryota; Euglenozoa; Euglenophyceae; Eutreptiales; Eutreptiaceae.